RNAcentral lists this ribosomal RNA (254 nucleotides) under uncultured bacterium. RNAcentral describes it as "partial 16S ribosomal RNA". It matches the Rfam family "Bacterial small subunit ribosomal RNA", at positions 524 to 776 of the family's 1533-position model. The record is from RNAcentral.
UACGUAGGGGGCGAGCGUUGUCCGGAUUUAUUGGGCGUAAAGAGCUCGUAGGCGGUUCGAUAAGUCGGGCGUGAAAACUCUGGGCUUAACCCAGAGACGCCACCCGAUACUGUUGUGACUGGAGUCUGGUAGGGGAGUGUGGAAUUCCCGGUGUAGCGGUGAAAUGCGUAGAGAUCAGGAAGAACAUCGGUGGCGAAGGCGCUCUGCUGGACCAUAACUGACACUCAGGGACGAAAGCUAGGGGAGCGAAUGGG